This is a non-coding RNA of Podarcis lilfordi (Lilford's wall lizard), 73 nucleotides long. NCBI's taxonomy places the organism in Eukaryota, Metazoa, Chordata, Lepidosauria, Squamata, Lacertidae. The record is from the annotation of a GenBank genome assembly.
ACCUCAUGGUGUAGUGGGGCAGUGCGUUUGGCUGUAAUCUAGAAGGCUGGUGGUUCUAGCCCACCCAGGGGUG